This 406-nucleotide ribosomal RNA is filed under the name uncultured bacterium. Its description in RNAcentral is "partial 16S ribosomal RNA". It matches the Rfam family "Bacterial small subunit ribosomal RNA", at positions 30 to 526 of the family's 1533-position model. The record is from RNAcentral.
AUUGAACGCUGGCGGCAGGCCUAACACAUGCAAGUCGAACGAGUGGCGGACGGGUGAGUAAUGUCUGGGAAACUGCCUUAUGGAGGGGGAUACCUCCUGGAAACGGUAGCUAAUCCCGCAUACCAUCAGAUGUUCCCAGAUGGUAUUAGCUAGUUGGUGGGGUAACGGCUCACCAAGGCGACGAUCCCUAGCUGGUCUGAGAGGAUGAACAGCCACACUGGAACUGAGACACGGGCCAGACUCCUACGGGAGGCAGCAGUUGGGAAUAUUGCACAAUGGGCGCAAGCCUGAUGCAGCCAUGCCGCGUGUAUGAAGAAGGCCUUCGGGUUGGAAAGUACUUUCAGCGGGGAGGCGUUACCCGCAGAAGAAGCACCGGCUAACUCCGUGCCAGCAGCCGCGGUAAUUC